RNAcentral lists this small RNA (87 nucleotides) under Pseudomonas parafulva. The record is from RNAcentral. Lineage: Bacteria; Pseudomonadati; Pseudomonadota; Gammaproteobacteria; Pseudomonadales; Pseudomonadaceae.
GUCGCUGCCAAUUCAGCGACCGGGUUUGGCGACCCGUCACACGUUAGGCGCAUAGGCGCCCCCAUCACGAUUGCAGGCGCUUUUUUU